Molecule: ribosomal RNA, 445 nt
Filed under: uncultured bacterium
Lineage: Bacteria
Description: bacterial SSU rRNA
Rfam family: Bacterial small subunit ribosomal RNA
Source: RNAcentral
GACGAACGCUGGCGGCGUGCUUAACACAUGCAAGUCGAACGUGAUUUUUAAGGAAAGCCCUUCGGGGAAGGAAUUAAAAUGAAAGUGGCGAACGGGUGAGUAACACGUGAGCAACCUACCUUACACAGGGGGAUAGCCGUUGGAAACGACGAUUAAUACCGCAUGAGACCACAGAAUCGCAUGAUAUAGGGGUCAAAGAUUUAUCGGUGUAAGAAGGGCUCGCGUCUGAUUAGCUAGUUGGAAGGGUAAGGGCCUACCAAGGCGACGAUAAGUAGCCGGUCUGAGAGGAUGAACGGCCACAUUGGAACUGAGACACGGUCCAAACUCCUACGGGAGGCAGCAGUGGGGAAUAUUGCACAAUGGGGGGAACCCUGAUGCAGCGACGCCGCGUGAGCGAAGAAGGUUUUCGAAUCGUAAAGCUCUGUCCUANGAGAAGAUAANGACG